Molecule: ribosomal RNA, 274 nt
Filed under: uncultured bacterium
Lineage: Bacteria
Description: partial 16S ribosomal RNA
Rfam family: Bacterial small subunit ribosomal RNA
Source: RNAcentral
AUACGGAGGGUGCAAGCGUUACUCGGAAUCACUGGGCGUAAAGCGCGCGCAGGCGGUCUUUUAAGUUGGAUGUGAAAGCCUACGGCUCAACCGUAGAACUGCAUCCAAAACUAUUAGACUAGAGUGCGGGAGAGGCAGAUGGAAUUAGUUGUGUAGGGGUAAAAUCCGUAGAGAUAACUAGGAAUACCAAAAGCGAAGGCAAUCUUCUGGAACACUACUGACGCUGAGGCGCGAAAGCGUGGGGAGCAAACAGGAUUAGAGACCCUAGUAGUCC